UUCGCAGUGCGCACACGGGGAGCUUGCUCCUAGAGAUGCUGCGAGGAAAGUCCCCGUGCCUCGGUGCAGAGAGUGCGAGUUGGAGACCGC
Molecule: non-coding RNA, 90 nt
Filed under: Scrippsiella hangoei
Lineage: Eukaryota; Dinophyceae; Peridiniales; Peridiniaceae
Source: RNAcentral